Molecule: ribosomal RNA, 354 nt
Filed under: Triticum aestivum (bread wheat)
Lineage: Eukaryota; Viridiplantae; Streptophyta; Magnoliopsida; Poales; Poaceae
Description: partial small subunit ribosomal RNA
Source: RNAcentral
AUGUUAACACCCUAAGGUUUUGGACCAAAAUGGAUAAGAUGGAUCUUAUCCAUUUUACGACAGAGUUCUUUCUGUGUCAAAAUUUAUGAUGUGCUAGGAUCAUACUUUGUGGGAGGGAAAGGUCUGAAGCAGGGUGACCCAAUCUCCCCUAUGCUUUUUAACCUUGUUGCUGAUGUUUUUUCCAGAAUGCUUGCUAAAGCUGUUAGGCACAAAAUCAUUUCAGGGAUUAUUCCCCAUAUUAUUCCAAAAAGCCUCUUUAGUUUACCGAAAAAGGGUUUCCCCCGCUUUGUAUUCCAAAGCAACCAACACCGAUACAGGAUUGCUGGGGGGAACAGCACAACAAUCCAAAAUUAA